This is a long non-coding RNA of Coccinella septempunctata (seven-spotted ladybird), 225 nucleotides long. RefSeq lists it as uncharacterized. The record is from RefSeq and is a predicted model, not a curated record. NCBI's taxonomy places the organism in Eukaryota, Metazoa, Arthropoda, Insecta, Coleoptera, Coccinellidae. The transcript is spliced from 3 exons.
GGCUGAUUCAUGCUAGACCGUGUCGGGUCCGGGCCGGGACCCGGACGGGACACGGUAAAAUAAUUAUAUGAGCAAUUUCAAUUGACGCAUCCACACUACACCGAUUGGGACACGUGCCGUGCCCGUGUUUUCAGAGUGGCGAUCCAUUGCAACGGCCCGGAGUCGGUCCCGGCCCGGCUCCGACACGGUCUAGCAUGAAUCAGCCUUAACUCAUGAUAUUAAUAC